RNAcentral lists this long non-coding RNA (590 nucleotides) under Vigna radiata. RNAcentral describes it as "long non-coding RNA (VRAD_LNC017823)". The record is from RNAcentral. Lineage: Eukaryota; Viridiplantae; Streptophyta; Magnoliopsida; Fabales; Fabaceae.
GCUAGAGAGUCGAGCCAUUUAAUUAGAUGCGCGAAUUCGAUGUAGUUUUGCUUUGUGAUUUUCUUCCCCUUUUCUUUAUCUAUGCUUGGUAUUUGGAAUAACUGCAAUAACUGUUGAAUAUUCAACCCUAGGCUAGAAAACAUGUUAUAUCUGCCUGGGAAUCUUCUGGUUGUUUUGCAGGUGAGGGUUUGGGUGCAUUGCAUUCUNCCUUCACACACACACAUAUUAUGCAUCUAUUGAGUGGGGCCCAAUACCCGGGUUUGAGCGUAACUUAGAAUUAGAGGAGUUGUGUAGCGGUGUCACUCUGGGAUGUACUUCCUGUUUGGCUAUCGUGAGAACUCCAGCUAGAGUCUGUUCUCUUCACUUGUGUCUCCACACCUAGUUGAUUACUCGACUGUUGUGGGGAUGCUGUGAAGGGGGCCAUAGCUCUAGUGACCUUUAAUCCUUAGGCUCAGGGAACUAUCCUGGUGAGAUUGCAUAUAGUUGACCUUAAAUCUAAAAUGUUGAACCUUCACUAGGGCACAAAGGGAGAUGUGUGCAGUCUUAUAACCCUCAUUUUUGCUUAAUAAAAUCAAGCACCUUAUACAUAU